Molecule: ribosomal RNA, 451 nt
Filed under: uncultured bacterium
Lineage: Bacteria
Description: partial 16S ribosomal RNA
Rfam family: Bacterial small subunit ribosomal RNA
Source: RNAcentral
CCAGACUCCUACGGGAGGCAGCAGUGGGGAAUCUUGCGCAAUGGGCGGAAGCCUGACGCAGCGACGCCGCGUGCGGGACGAAGGCCUUCGGGUCGUAAACCGCUUUCAGCAGGGACGAGGCCCUCACGGUGACGGUACCUGCAGAAGAAGCCCCGGCUAACUACGUGCCAGCAGCCGCGGUAAUACGUAGGGGGCGAGCGUUAUCCGGAUUCAUUGGGCGUAAAGCGCGCGUAGGCGGCCUGUUAGGUCGGGGGUCAAAUACCGGGGCUCAACCCCGGUCCGCCCCCGAUACCGGCAGGCUUGAGUCUGGUAGGGGAAGGCGGAAUUCCCAGUGUAGCGGUGGAAUGCGCAGAUAUUGGGAAGAACACCGGCGGCGAAGGCGGCCUUCUGGGCCACGACUGACGCUGAGGCGCGAAAGCUAGGGGAGCGAACAGGAUUAGAUACCCUCGUA